This 148-nucleotide non-coding RNA is filed under the name Pan troglodytes (chimpanzee). Lineage: Eukaryota; Metazoa; Chordata; Mammalia; Primates; Hominidae. The record is from Rfam by way of RNAcentral.
GCUGGGCAUGGUGGUGGGUGCCUGUAAUCCCAUCUCCUUGGGAGGCUGAGGCAGGAGAAUUGCUUGAACCCAGGAGGCGGAGGUUGCAGUGAGCUGAGAUUGUGCCACUGCACUCCAGCCUGGGCAACAGAGCGAGACUCUGUCUCAA